RNAcentral lists this ribosomal RNA (680 nucleotides) under uncultured bacterium. RNAcentral describes it as "bacterial SSU rRNA". It matches the Rfam family "Bacterial small subunit ribosomal RNA", at positions 22 to 750 of the family's 1533-position model. The record is from RNAcentral.
GCUCAGAACGAACGCUGGCGGCAGGCCUAACACAUGCAAGUCGAGCGCAUAGCAAUAUGAGCGGCGGACGGGUUAGUAACGCGUGGGAACGUACCCUUUUCUUCGGAAUAGCUUUGGGAAACUGAAGGUAAUACCGGAUACGCCCUUUUGGGGAAAGAUUUAUCGGAGAAGGAUCGGCCCGCGUCUGAUUAGAUAGUUGGUGGGGUAAUGGCCUACCAAGUCUACGAUCAGUAGCUGGUUUGAGAGGAUGAUCAGCAACACUGGGACUGAGACACGGCCCAGACUCCUACGGGAGGCAGCAGUGGGGAAUCUUAGACAAUGGGCGCAAGCCUGAUCUAGCCAUGCCGCGUGAGUGAUGAAGGCCUUAGGGUCGUAAAGCUCUUUCGCUGGGGAAGAUAAUGACGGUACCCAGUAAAGAAACCCCGCCUAACUCCGUGCCAGCAGCCGCGGUAAUACGGAGGGGGUUAGCGUUGUUCGGAAUUACUGGGCGUAAAGCGCGCGUAGGCGGAUCAGAAAGUAGGGGGUGAAAUCCCAGGGCUCAACCCUGGAAUUGCCUUCUAAACUCCUGGUCUUGAGUUCGAGAGAGGUGAGUGGAAUUCCGAGUGUAGAGGUGAAAUUCGUAGAUAUUCGGAGGAACACCAGUGGCGAAGGCGGCUCACUGGCUCGAUACUGACGCUGAG